GUAAUGGAAAGGCCUCAUUUGUGGGACCUCAACAACAAGUUUUUCAAACUGACUUUGCUUCUGCUCAAAGGGCUGAACUUAUGGCUGUGAUAACAGUGUUAAAAACUUUUAAAUAGCCUGUAAACAUUGUUUCUGAUUCAGCCUAUGUAGUGCAAGCCACACAAAAUAUUGAACGUGCCUUAAUUCAAAAUGUGACUAAAGACCAACUUAAUGUUUUAUUUCAUUCUUUACAGCAAGCAGUACAACAAAGGCAUUCCCCUUUCUAUGCACUCAUAUGAGAGCACAUACUAACUUCCCUGGCCCUUUAACUAAAUUUAAUCAAAAGGCGGAUAAUUAUAUGGGGAAGGAUUUGCUUGUGUCUCUCCAGGUAACAAUCAGGCACCUGUGUGGGUGCCCACCAAACAUCUGAAGAUCUAUCAUGAGCCACACCAGGAAGAGAGGACUCUGGGAAGAGCCAGAGCUCCUGAUAUGAGUGAUGGUACAAAUGAACAUCUCAGAGACAAAGGAGAAGACCAAUGGAGUGCCACUGGGUUAGAGUCUCCCCAACCAAGCUGGUCUCAGCAAGUGGUCUCCAUCAUGGGGGCUCGAAUCCAGGUCGAAGGGUCACCGGAGUGAUGGUUGGAGAACAUGGAACUAGUUGGAGGACACCUGAGUACUCUAAAAGCAAACCCCGUGUUAAUUGAAAAUGCUCAGUUACGAUUUCAUACAGAUGAACAACUGAAGACAAAAACAACAAAGGGGGAGAAAGAGGGAUUAUGGGACAGCCCAUAUACAAUUGAAUCUAGCAUUAAUAACUUUAAAUUUUUUGAGUCUGCCUAAAGGCCAGAUGUUAUCAGCAGCUGAACAGCAUUUACAGAAACCAGCUGCAAAGACAGAAGCAAAACAACUGGUUUGGUGGAGAGAUCCGAUAACAAAAAGUUGGGAAAUAGGUAAAAUAAUAACUUGGGGUAGAGGUUAUGUUUGUGUUUCUCCAGGCCAAAAUCAAUAACCAAUUUGGAUACCAUAAAGACACCUGAAACCUUAUCAUGAGCCAGAUGCUGAGGAAGAGAUUCCAGGAGGAUCCUGAGGACCCCCUGGUUGCAGCCAUGUUGAGGUUGACACUGAGGAGGACCCCAACUGUCAUGAGCAACACCCGUCGAACACAGCCAUCCACCUGAGGACAAAUCAAGAAGCUGUCACAGAUGAUGGAAGAAAACCUGAGGAAAGUGGGACAACCAAUCACAAUGAGUAAUUUGGUGAACUAUCACAGUGAUGAUCACCAUUGCCAUGAGUAUUCCUUCAACAAGGGCUGACACAGAGAACAAUUAUACUUAUUGGGCAUAUUUAUCAAUCUUGUCUGGCAAUAAUGCCUAGAUGAUUUCACUCUAUGGCACAGUUACACAUGCUUUCUGAUCUCAGUAUUUACCAUAAUAAAUCUACUCCUAUAAUCGAGGCAUACCACCCUCAAAAACCUAUUUGUAAACAAAAUAGAACCUGGCCAGAAAUAAUGAACAACUUGUUUAGUAAGAUUGCAUUGCAGAACAGGCAGAGAUGCUAUGCAACGAUUCCUAUGGGAUCAUUGAUUGGUCCCCUAAGGGGAUGUUUAGCUUAAAUUGCACCUCUCAGUCUGCAUGCCGUGGCCACACUAGUUCAGAUGGUCUGAACAAAGUGGUCAGAUGGCAGAAAUGAUAAGAAGUAUGGCAAAAGUUCCUAUUGUCUGGAACCAUGGCAGUAUAGUGUCACCUCAAACUCAAAUGAUAUGGCUCGUUGUAGGAGCUAAACAUAAGGAUUUGUGGAAACUAUUAAUAGCUCUUUAUAAGAUCAAAAUUUGGGAAAGAAUAAAAAAAGCAUCUAGAAAGACACUCUACAAACUUGUCUUUGGAUAUUACAAAAUUAAAAGAACAAAUAUUUAAAGCAUCCCAGGUACACCUGACCUUAAUGACAGAAACUGGAGUGCUUGAAGGAGCUGCAGACAGAUUAGCAGCUAGUAACCCAUUAAAAUGGAUAAAAACACUUGGAAGCUCUGUGAUUUCAAUGAUGAUUGUGCUUUUAAUCUGUAUUGUUUGUCUUUGUAUAGUGUGCAGAUGUGGAUCUGUGAGAAGUAGCUCACAGUGUCAAAGCUGCCUUUGCUUUUAUUGAUUUGCAAAUCAAAUAAGGGGGACAUGUUGGGAACAGGCCCCCCCUCCAAAAUCUGGCCAUAAACUGGUCCCAAAACUGGCCAUAAACAAAAUCUCUGCAGCACUGUGACAUGUUCAUGAUGGUCUUAAUGCCCACGCUGGAAGGUUGUGGGUUUACCAGAAUGAGGGCAAGGAACACCUGGCCCACCCAGGGUGGAAAACUGCUUAAAGGCAUUCUUAAACCACAAACAAUAGCAUGAGUGAUCUGUGCCUUAAGGCCAUGCUACUGCUGCAGAUAACUAGCCCAACCCAUCCCUUUAUUUCAGCCCAUCCCUUCGUUUCCCAUAAGGGAUACUUUUAAUUAAUCUAAUAUCUAUAGAAAGAAUGCUAAUGACUGGCUUGCUGUUAAUAAAUAACGUGGGUAAAUCUCUGUUGGAGGCUCUCAGCUCUGAAGGCUGUGAGACCCCUGAUUUCCCACUUCACACCUCUGU
Molecule: long non-coding RNA, 2587 nt
Organism: Gorilla gorilla gorilla (western lowland gorilla)
Lineage: Eukaryota; Metazoa; Chordata; Mammalia; Primates; Hominidae
Exons: 3
Source: RefSeq, a predicted model, not a curated record